RNAcentral lists this ribosomal RNA (465 nucleotides) under uncultured bacterium. RNAcentral describes it as "partial 16S ribosomal RNA". It matches the Rfam family "Bacterial small subunit ribosomal RNA", at positions 338 to 795 of the family's 1533-position model. The record is from RNAcentral.
CCUACGGGUGGCAGCAGUGGGGAAUAUUGCGCAAUGGGCGAAAGCCUGACGCAGCGACGCCGCGUGAGGGAUGAAGGUCUUCGGAUCGUAAACCUCUGUCAGCAGGGAAGAACGGUCACUGGUCUAAUCAGUAGUGAAUUGACGGUACCUGCAAAGGAAGCACCGGCUAACUCCGUGCCAGCAGCCGCGGUAAUACGGAGGGUGCGAGCGUUAAUCGGAAUUACGGGGCGUAAAGCGCUCGUAGGCGGUAUGUCAAGUCAUAGGUGAAAUCCCCGCGCUGAACGUGGGAACUGCAUUUGAAACUGGCAAACUAGAGUGUGUGAGAGGAUGGUGGAAUUCCAGGUGUAGGGGUGAAAUCCGUAGAGAUCUGGAGGAACAUCAGUGGCGAAGGCGACUAUCUGGCACAUAACUGACGCUGAGGAGCGAAAGCGUGGGUAGCAAACAGGAUUAGAUACCCGGGUAGUC